CAUGCAUCUGCAUGCGGAUGCCGCUGAACCGAGACUACACAUCUCUCUCGAUCUCCCAUGAUUUUUCUGCUAUCGCGCUCAUCCGGGUGUUAGGCACCCUCAGUCUGUCCAGAACUUUCAUCGUGGAAGGAUGUGUUGGAGUGAUGUGUGAUUUCUUGUGCCCUGUAGUUUGCUCGUUUACGUUUUGUACCGUGUUACUUCUUCUUCAAUUAUGGAAUGAUUUAUCCUUGUAAAUUUCUAAGUUACAUAAUCGACGGUUACCUGUUGUCCUUGCCAACAUCCUGCAAAACGAUUGACGGAAGGAAAACGUUGUCUGGUUUUAAAAUAUCAAGAUUUCAACACAGCUCUUUCGUAGGAGAGCGCACUUCAAGGACGCCAAGGAUAUGGCUGAACAUGCGCAGCACCAGUCGAUGACGUCAUUUCCAGACAGGCGCCGGCUGAACACGCACAGCACCAGUCGAGGAUGUCCUAGCGAGAAGGGCAGAAGGAGGAACGAGAGGAAGGAUAACGGAACCGCUACAAUAGUAGGGGGUGAAGCAUCCGGCCGUGUACAGAGUGUGAGUGUGCCAAAACGCAUGUGGAAAGAGGAAGUCCAAUAAAUAGCAUGCGAAAGUGUGCAUAAAGCAAAAAGAAAAAGCGUCACUACUACAACCAGCAAUCCGAAAAUA
This is a long non-coding RNA of Anopheles arabiensis, 668 nucleotides long. RefSeq lists it as uncharacterized. The transcript is spliced from 3 exons. The record is from RefSeq and is a predicted model, not a curated record. NCBI's taxonomy places the organism in Eukaryota, Metazoa, Arthropoda, Insecta, Diptera, Culicidae.